GCUGGGUGCAGUGGCAUGCGCCUAUAGUCCCAGCUACUUGGGAGGCUGAGGUGGGAGGAUGGCUUGAGCCCAGGAGACAGAGAUUGCAGUGAGCCAAGAUGGUGCCACUGCACUCCAGCCUGGGUGACAGAGCCAGAUCCUGUCUCAA
This is an unclassified non-coding RNA of Pongo abelii (Sumatran orangutan), 148 nucleotides long. It matches the Rfam family "Metazoan signal recognition particle RNA". Rfam says of the family: The signal recognition particle (SRP) is a universally conserved ribonucleoprotein. It is involved in the co-translational targeting of proteins to membranes. The eukaryotic SRP consists of a 300-nucleotide 7S RNA and six proteins: SRPs 72, 68, 54, 19, 14, and 9. The record is from Ensembl. Lineage: Eukaryota; Metazoa; Chordata; Mammalia; Primates; Hominidae.